GAUGAAGAACGCAGCAAAAUGCGAUACUUGGUGUGAAUUGCAGAAUCCCGUGAACCAUCGAGUUUUUGAACGCAAGUUGCGCCCGAAGCCUUUUGGCCGAGGGCACGUCUGCCUGGGCGUCACGCAUCGCGUCGCCCCCCACAAUUCUCCGUAAAAGGAACAUGUGUUUUGGGGGCGGAUAUUGGUCUCCCGUGCUCAUGGCGUGGUUGGCCGAAAUAGGAGUCCUUUCGAUGGACGCACGAACUAGUGGUGGUCGUAAAAACCCUCGUCUUUUGUUUCGUGCUGUUGCUCGCAAGGUAAACUCUUUAAAAACCCCAAUGUGUCGUCUCUUGACGACGCUUCGACCGCGACCCCAGGUCAGGCGGGACUACCCGCUGAGUUUAAGCAUAUCAAUAAGCGGAGG
This 403-nucleotide unclassified non-coding RNA is filed under the name soil metagenome. Its description in RNAcentral is "partial contains 5.8S ribosomal RNA, internal transcribed spacer 2, and large subunit ribosomal RNA". The stretch from base 1 to 122 matches the Rfam family "5.8S ribosomal RNA", at positions 35 to 154 of the family's 154-position model. The record is from RNAcentral.